This 497-nucleotide ribosomal RNA is filed under the name uncultured bacterium. Its description in RNAcentral is "partial 16S ribosomal RNA". It matches the Rfam family "Bacterial small subunit ribosomal RNA", at positions 28 to 507 of the family's 1533-position model. The record is from RNAcentral.
GACGAACGCUGGCGGCGUGCCUAAUACAUGCAAGUCGAGCGAACAGACGAGGAGCUUGCUCCUCUGACGUUAGCGGCGGACGGGUGAGUAACACGUGGAUCAUCUACCUAUAAGACUGGGAUAACCUCGGGAAACCGGCGCUAAUACCGGAUAAUAUCUUGAACCACAUGGUUCAAUAGUGAAAGACGGUUUUGCUGUAACUAAUAGAUGUAUCUGGGCGGCUUUAGCUGGUUGGUAAGGUAACGGCUUACCAAGGCGACGAGGCGUUGCCGACCUGAGAGGGUGGUAGGCCGCAUGGGAGCGUGACCGGGGACCAGACGCCUACGGGAGGCAGCAGAAGGGAAUCGUACGCAAUGGUGGAAAGCCUGACGGAGCAAGGCGGCGGGUGUGAUGAAGGUCUUCGGUUCGGAAAACUCUGUUAUGAGGUAAAAACAAAUGUGGAAGGAAAUAUGCAGUUAUUGACGGUACCUAAUCAGAAAGCCACGGCUAACUACGUG